This 29-nucleotide non-coding RNA is filed under the name Rattus norvegicus (Norway rat). The record is from RNAcentral. Lineage: Eukaryota; Metazoa; Chordata; Mammalia; Rodentia; Muridae.
UUCCAAGAUGCUUCUGUGCGGUCCACUUC